Sycon ciliatum is the source of this 640-nucleotide long non-coding RNA. RefSeq lists it as uncharacterized. NCBI's taxonomy places the organism in Eukaryota, Metazoa, Porifera, Calcarea, Leucosolenida, Sycettidae. The transcript has 4 exons. The record is from RefSeq and is a predicted model, not a curated record.
CGAACUCGUACUCGUAGCAGCAGCAAUGCCAAGAAGAGCAGGCAGCGUAGCAAAAGCAGUCACAACAACGCAGACGCAAUAACAUUUUCAGCAGCCGUUCAUCUCAGAGGGGAUGCAGCGCCAAACUGCGAGGGUGAGGUGGUAACUCUCACAACCAAUGCCUCCGCAGGUUCAUCGUUAGCUACCCCACAGCUGAGUGCCAUACUGGUCAUGACGUAACUACAGAAACAGGAAAACUUGCCGGGGAGCUGAGCGAAAGGCAAGAACUUUAUACCUGUGCAUGGCCAUGAUCCCAUGUACAAACAGCCCCAGAGAGUACCCAUGCGUGCUGGCAGCUUACUCAUCUGGGACCAGCGUGUGGCGCACGGCAGUCGGCCCAACAACAGCACGCGAGCAAGGUAUGUUCAAUUUGUAAAGAUGUUCCCAUCCAUCAACCUCCGCUCAGAACGAGCUAAGAAUCGUGGUCAGCUUAUCAAGGACAAGGUAUGUUGCGGGUGCUCCGCCGGCUGAUGUGACCAGUAAUGGAUGUGUCUGUCCUGCUGCUAAGUAUACGAGAUCUCGUAGUCCUUAGGCUGUUUUGUUGUCCUGCUGCUGCCUAGCGGAUCAUGUGAUUGUUUGCUUCCCUGUGUGUGCUCUGGGU